GGACCCGCACAAGUAGUGGAGCAUGUGGUUUAAUUCGAAGAUACGCGCAGAACCUUACCAACACUUGACAUGUUCGUCGCGACUUUAAGAGAUUAAAGUUUUCGGUUCGGCCGGACGAAACACAGGUGCUGCAUGGCUGUCGUCAGCUCGUGUCGUGAGAUGUUGGUUAAGUCCCGCAACGAGCGCAACCCUCACUUUUAGUUGCCAUCAUUAAGUUGGGCACUCUGAAAGAACUGCCAGUGAUAAGCUGGAGGAAGGUGGGGAUGACGUCAAGUCCUCAUGGCCCUUACGUUCUGGGCUACACACGUGCUACAAUGGCCGGUACAGAAAGCAGCCACUAUGCGAAUAGGAGCU
This 354-nucleotide ribosomal RNA is filed under the name uncultured bacterium. RNAcentral's name for it is "bacterial SSU rRNA". It matches the Rfam family "Bacterial small subunit ribosomal RNA", at positions 917 to 1269 of the family's 1533-position model. The record is from RNAcentral.